RNAcentral lists this ribosomal RNA (718 nucleotides) under Vibrio parahaemolyticus. RNAcentral describes it as "partial 23S ribosomal RNA". It matches the Rfam family "Bacterial large subunit ribosomal RNA", at positions 2213 to 2925 of the family's 2925-position model. The record is from RNAcentral. Lineage: Bacteria; Pseudomonadati; Pseudomonadota; Gammaproteobacteria; Vibrionales; Vibrionaceae.
GUUGAUGUUCUAACGUCGACCCCUUAUCGGGGUUGCGGACAGUGCCUGGUGGGUAGUUUGACUGGGGCGGUCUCCUCCCAAAGAGUAACGGAGGAGCACGAAGGUGGGCUAAUCACGGUUGGACAUCGUGAGGUUAGUGCAAUGGCAUAAGCCCGCUUGACUGCGAGAAUGACAAUUCGAGCAGGUGCGAAAGCAGGUCAUAGUGAUCCGGUGGUUCUGAAUGGAAGGGCCAUCGCUCAACGGAUAAAAGGUACUCCGGGGAUAACAGGCUGAUACCGCCCAAGAGUUCAUAUCGACGGCGGUGUUUGGCACCUCGAUGUCGGCUCAUCACAUCCUGGGGCUGAAGUCGGUCCCAAGGGUAUGGCUGUUCGCCAUUUAAAGUGGUACGCGAGCUGGGUUUAGAACGUCGUGAGACAGUUCGGUCCCUAUCUGCCGUGGGCGUUGGAAGAUUGAAGGGGGCUGCUCCUAGUACGAGAGGACCGGAGUGGACGAACCUCUGGUGUUCGGGUUGUGUCGCCAGACGCAUUGCCCGGUAGCUAAGUUCGGAAUCGAUAACCGCUGAAAGCAUCUAAGCGGGAAGCGAGCCCUGAGAUGAGUCUUCCCUGAUACUUUAAGUAUCCUAAAGGGUUGUCGGAGACUACGACGUUGAUAGGUCAGGUGUGUAAGUGCUGUGAGGCAUUGAGCUAACUGAUACUAAUUGCCCGUGAGGCUUAACCAU